CAGUGACUACAACAUAUCUUUUCCCUUCCCUUUUCUCUCUUUCCACCGAUCUCACUUCCUUAGUCUUUUUCUACCUAAUUUUUUUAGGGUUUUUUUCCUUCCAAAACUCGAUCGAUUCAUUAAAGAAAAGAACUAGGUGACCACCUUCCUCUUUAUUUUCCAUCUUCUUCUAGAUUCUUCUAUUCUUUCCGAGGUUAUUACGCCACUAGACAAAUGACUCUCAUCUUGUUCAGAAAAUUAGAGGUUUUGGAUUUCAUUCCGUAACUAAGGUUCGCCAUUUUGGAGGUUUUAAGGUUUUGAAUUGAUUGCAGUUGUCUUAAGAAGUAGGAAAAAUUUGUCUAGGCUUCAAAUGAAGAUCUUUUGGUUCAACGAAUAUGGAAUAAAAUUUGUUCUGAUAGACUACAAGACAUGCUUUCAGAAGAGAAGACACAAGUAAGGAAAGAAGCCAACACAAAAGACAUCGUAGACUGCAAAGGCAUGCCGAGGCAAUGGAUCACAAAUGAAGCUUGGGAUAUCCUUAUCAAUGCGGUAUGGGGUGGAGAAGAAUGGAAAAACAAAUUGGAACAAGGAGGAAUCGUUUAACACAAAAAGCAAGAAGUAUUACAAAGCACACUGGUGAUUCAGUUCCAUUCAUUGUUCAUGCAAAAAGGAUGGUAUGAAUUAAUAUUUAUUUGUUACACUUUACAUACUAUUACUUCCCAUAUUCUAAUAUGCUUUACAUGUUAUGUAAAAUAUAUGCAUUAUGAUUGAGUUUAAUUGUAAAUGAUUGUAGGCAAAUGAGAUGAAUCGAGAUGUUAGCUUUGUGGCAGUAUUCAAUCGCACUCAUAGACAUUUAAGGGGUCAUGGAAACAUAUAUUGCUACAUUAUCACAUAAGUACGGUGAAGAUUCAUCCUCACAACUAGAAUUAGAUUCGCAUGCUUGGACUAAAGCAAUUGGAGGGAUGAUAAUUACACGCACUUAUGUGUAUGGGUUUGGUUCUCAGGGACCUGCUACAACUAUACUAAAUGAUGCAGUAACAUCUGAGUUAGUAGUUAACCUUUGCAUUGGUUUUAACAUUCGGUUAAAAGAAAAAGUGAAAAAUCUAUCAAAUGACAUGAGUCAGAUGCGUGAGCAAAUGACGCAACAUUUUGGAGCCAUGAAUGAAUUUAUAGUAAGUAUGAAAGCAAUGAUGAUAAAGAGACGUUCAAGAAAAGGCCAUGUGAGUUCUUCGAGUUUAGCUUCUGACAAGUAAGGCGACAGUUCAUGAUGAUAGCUUAUUUUUUAAAUUUGACUUAGAUAUUUUUUUUAA
Molecule: non-coding RNA, 1289 nt
Organism: Theobroma cacao (cacao)
Lineage: Eukaryota; Viridiplantae; Streptophyta; Magnoliopsida; Malvales; Malvaceae
Source: RefSeq, a predicted model, not a curated record